RNAcentral lists this ribosomal RNA (478 nucleotides) under uncultured bacterium. RNAcentral describes it as "partial 16S ribosomal RNA". It matches the Rfam family "Bacterial small subunit ribosomal RNA", at positions 28 to 523 of the family's 1533-position model. The record is from RNAcentral.
GACGAACGCUGGCGGCGUGCUUAACACAUGCAAGUCGAACGGUAAGGCCCUUCGGGGUACACGAGUGGCGAACGGGUGAGUAACACGUGGGUGAUCUGCCCUGCACUUCGGGAUAAGCCUGGGAAACUGGGUCUAAUACCGGAUAGGACUCCUGGCUUCAUGGUUGGGGGUGGAAAGCUUUUGCGGUGUGGGAUGGGCCCGCGGCCUAUCAGCUUGUUGGUGGGGUAAUGGCCUACCAAGGCGACGACGGGUAGCCGGCCUGAGAGGGUGACCGGUCACACUGGGACUGGGAUACGGCCCAGACUCAUACGGGAGGCAGCAGUGGGGAAUAUUGCACAAUGGGCGCAAGCCUGAUGCAGCGACGCCGCGGGAGGGAUGACGGCCUUCGGGUUGUAAACCUCUUUCAGCUAUGACGAAGCGCAAGUGACGGUAGUAGCAGAAGAAGGACCGGCCAACUACGUGCCAGCAGCCGCCGUAA